Non-coding RNA from Chiloscyllium plagiosum (whitespotted bambooshark), 644 nucleotides. The record is from RefSeq and is a predicted model, not a curated record. Lineage: Eukaryota; Metazoa; Chordata; Chondrichthyes; Orectolobiformes; Hemiscylliidae.
UUCUCAUUUCAAGGUGAAACUCUCUCUCUGGGCAACGUCUGGGAGCAAAGCAAUGUCUCCCCUUUCCAUUCCUCAACCUGGAAGGAAGAGAGAGGAGGGGAAACAUUGUUCACUUAUAGUAAGUGGAGGUCGGGGUUGUGAAUCCUGGGAGCAAGCGGACUCUGCCAAGGAUAACAGAAAAGAAGAAUUUGGAAGCAGAAAUCUCAAACUAAACUUCACGUCAGUGUCUGGUAGUUAGUUGAUUCACCCAAGAUGUCAAUAUCGACGGCUUUGAAAACAAGGAGGGGAAACGAGAUCCUGACUGUGAUACUUCAGGAUCUUACAGGAAUAGGAAAGCCAAACGUCAAGACUGACAUCUCUUUGAAUUUUGGAUAAUUCCACCUGAAAGUUAAUAUCUUUCACGACAUUGGCGAUACUGCUGAGAGUGAGCAUGUCUGAUUUUGUGAAGCAAAAACAAAGUGUGUUAAUUCAGGAUGAACCUACAAUGCAGCUUCUUGAGAAAUAACCAGACAUGAAAUGGUUAAUGUCGGGGGGUGGGGAGGCUUUUUGAUCGUUCAGAUGCUCUGUCUUUCAUCACCAUCCAUGGCUGAUCAUUCAUCUAAAUUAUCUUUCCUGCACAUUUUUUUCAUGACUUCACCUGAUGA